GGCGCCAGAUGCGGCGGCAGAAGAGAUCAAGCGAGCGGACUGAUCGGGGUACUCUCGCCGACGCGUUCACGGAGAGCAACUGUCACGCACGUAGUCAUUGGAGCGUUUCAGCAAGGAGCGCUUGGCGUAGCGUCGCGGCCGGCCUCGACGCCGGUAGACCGGCAAGCGGAAACGACACACGAUCCAGCAGGGGCGAUUUAGACGUUAGAGGAGGCUGCGGACGCAACAACUCGCCUCAGAGGUGUAGAUCGUCGUCGCGGCCGCUGAGAAUAGGUAGGUAGUUACCUUCCUCGCAUAGUUAAAUGAUACGUAAUAAAAGGGAAUGGGACGUAAACAUGCUUGUCUUUCUUCAUGGAACGACUGUUUACUUUAUCAAGUCUCUAUUGUUAAACCUUGUCUAUUCCGCCGAUACAGACGUUGUGUAAUAUAUAAAUCACUCCCGGAUCGAACCUGUUCUCCCUACUUGUAACCUCGUUCUAAUACGCACCUCUACUACCGUACACGUUCCCCUUGUUCUUGCCUCAAUGUUCUCUACUAAAGUCCUGAAACUUCGGUGGUAUUACUCACGUACUUCGGAACCUGCUUUAUAUGUUCUACGGUUAAGUAUUUAAAGCAGGUCUCCGAUAAUAUCCACGAUGCAGUGGAAUAAAAACCCGGUACGGGUACAUUAAAGCUUUAUCAGUUCAUAUCCGACAAAAAAUGUCAGGCAUACACACCGCUUUGUUGUCAAUCCCAACCAAAGCCUGGGGAGGAGGUUCCCGGUACUUUAAGGGCGGAGAAGGAGGUAUAUACGUUGGGAAUCCCGUAGCAAAUCUGAAACCCAAAACAAAUCUAAUUUUCAAGCGGUAUCGACGUUGAAGCGCAUGAAGCAAACACAAGUUGCUGGUCUGGUUCUGCAGUAUCUCGGGGUGGAACUAGUUAUUUCGAAAGGAGAAUAUAAGCG
This 943-nucleotide ribosomal RNA is filed under the name Triticum aestivum (bread wheat). Its description in RNAcentral is "partial small subunit ribosomal RNA". Lineage: Eukaryota; Viridiplantae; Streptophyta; Magnoliopsida; Poales; Poaceae. The record is from RNAcentral.